RNAcentral lists this long non-coding RNA (577 nucleotides) under Ananas comosus (pineapple). RNAcentral's name for it is "long non-coding RNA (ACOM_LNC028111)". Lineage: Eukaryota; Viridiplantae; Streptophyta; Magnoliopsida; Poales; Bromeliaceae. The record is from RNAcentral.
UCCUCCCACCCCAGAAGCAAGAUCUAGAGCUCCUGACUUCGACAUCACCGGNAGAGCUCCCGACUUCGACAUCACCGGAUCCCGUCGACAACAAAUUAUCUGCUAAAUAAUUCCAAGGAAAGGGUUAUUCAUAAAAAAAUGUGGAUCUGCCGUUCCGAAUAUGCACUUGAAGGACCAGAUCUAUGGAGGAAAAUAGAAAUGAAAAAGGAUAAAAAGGGAUGACGAUCUGCCUUUUCCCAAUAUGCACUUGAAAGACCAGAUCUAUGGAGGAAAACAGAAACGAAAAAUGUAAUGACCUGAAGUAUAAGUAGCAGUAGUUAACAGAGGAGGUAAAUAAAAGUGUUAACUUUGCAUAGUAAACAGAAAUAAGGGCCGCAGCAGGUUGAGGAAGGCGCGAGCUUGGUAGAACUCCGGCGGCGUGAGGGCGCUCGGGUGGAACUCCGGCGGAACGACGGAACUAGGGCAUCCUCAGAGCUCGGAGAGGGCGAUGGGAGGAUCGAGAAGGGAGAAAAGGGGGUCCGACAGAUCUUGGUAUUUGGGGCGAAGAAGAGAACCGGCGGGUUUAGGGAUGUCAAUG